Rattus norvegicus (Norway rat) is the source of this 963-nucleotide non-coding RNA. Lineage: Eukaryota; Metazoa; Chordata; Mammalia; Rodentia; Muridae. The record is from RefSeq and is a predicted model, not a curated record.
UCUACAUUGUUUUCUUCAUUGCUUUCACUUCCCUCGUUCAUUUCAUCCGUUUCUCUGUUAUCUCCUUUGCAGUGGGAAGCAAGAUUGAGGCCUACCUUUGUUCUUAGCUAAGCACAGCUGGGGACUGAACCCAGGGCCUUGCGCUUGCUAGGCAAGUGCUCUACCGCUCUGAGCUAAAUCCCCAACCCCUCGUCUACUGAUUUUUGAGUGUUCAUUUUGCACCCUGCUACUUUGACGGCAGCUUUUAUUGAGGGAGACCCCUAGGAUGUCCGGGCAGGGCAACGGAUCUCAAAGAGUUAUGGACUAAUAUUUAGAAACCGAGAGAAUAAAUGCCCCAAGUUUUUAUUCAAAAAAAUAUUGAACUGUCUGUACUGGCUGGUUUGUGUGCGUCAACUUGACACAAGCUGGAGUUAUCACAGAGAAAGGAGCCUCCGUUGAGGAAAUGCCUCCGUGAGACCCAGCUGUAAGGCAUUUUCUCAAUUAGUGAUCAAGGGGCGAGGACCAUUGUGGGAGGUGCCGUCCCUGGGCUGGUGGUCCUGGGUUCUCUAAGAAGACAGGCUGAGCAAGGCUAGUAAGCAGUACCCCUCCUGCAUCAGCUCCUGCCUCCAGGUUCCUGUCCUGUGUGAGUUCCUGUCCUGACUUCCUUUGGUGAUGAACAGCAAUGUGGAAGUGUGAGCUGAAUAAACCCUUUCCUCCCCAACUUGCUUCUUGGUCGUGAUGUUUGUGCAGGAGUAGAAACCCUAACGGGGGUGGGGGUGGGGGAGUGGGGGUGGAAGGGGUGGGUGGGUGAACGCCCUCGUAGAAGCAGGGGGAGGGGGAGGGGAUAGAGGGUUUAUGGAUGGGAAACUGGUAAAGGGGAUAAUAUUUGAAAUGUAAAUAAAAAAAUCUAAUUAAAAAAAAAAGAAUAAAAAAAGAAACCCUGACUAAGACACUGCUCUGAGUCCCUAAUUUAUGCAAAGCAGC